This is a long non-coding RNA of Glycine soja, 878 nucleotides long. RefSeq lists it as uncharacterized. The record is from RefSeq and is a predicted model, not a curated record. The transcript is spliced from 6 exons. Lineage: Eukaryota; Viridiplantae; Streptophyta; Magnoliopsida; Fabales; Fabaceae.
UACCUUAUACAAUAUUCGGCUUCUGCUUUCUCUCCCUCUGCAUCUUUGUUUUUCGUACCAUAUGCCUCUGUCGGCAAGUUUCUUCAAAGGAUUCCACGAUGCCAGAUUUGGUGAACCUAUCUCUCUCCGCGGCUCUCAAACUCUCUCACUGCUCCUCCGAUGAUGCCCUUGACGUUCCUGUCAAAUCCCUAACCAAUGGCUUCGGUUCCGAACCUGCCUUCGAACCUCGGGUUUUGAAGCGCACCCGUGGCUCCCUGGAUCGGGUCAAGAAACCCCCCACCGCCGAUAAGGCCUUCCAAGAUCGCCUCAAAGAUCCUUUUCUAGUUGGCGCUCCCAAGAUGUGACGCGUGUUACCAUUCUGAAUGUGCAAAAGAAGCUGUUGGGUCUUCCACUCUGAAAAGAUUCAAGUGUCCACUACAUGUAUGCUUCAUUUGCAAGAAAAAGAAGCAGUUUUGGUGUGUUAGGUGUAAAGUAGCUUUCCAUAGUAAAUGUGCAGCAUGGUCAGAUUCAGUGUUGCAACUAAAAGAUCAUCCUGGGCAUACUGUUUGCUGGAGGCAUCCUUAUGAUUGGCACUUGGAUUGGAAGGUUGGCUGACAGGAAUGUUGUAUUUGUUGGAUGAGUAGCCUGAUGCUUCGACAAGUGACAUUUCUCUUCUUUAUAUCAAGAUUUUUGUCUUAAAAAAGUGGAAGUACAUAAAGAUGCCUGAUGCUUUGAAAAGGUGGUUAUCGUGGCGCAUGGUUUAGAUGCAAGUGUGCUUGGGUUGGAUUUUGGUCAGACCGUGGGUGAUGUUCACCCAAGUUUGCAUGGGACUCAGGUGGAACAGUCGACAAAUAUUAGCAAUAGCACAUUGGAAGGUCUAGAGCAGGCCAUUCUCAAGU